RNAcentral lists this ribosomal RNA (300 nucleotides) under Longiperna coxalis. Its description in RNAcentral is "partial 16S ribosomal RNA". Lineage: Eukaryota; Metazoa; Arthropoda; Arachnida; Opiliones; Gonyleptidae. The record is from RNAcentral.
GCAUAAUCAAUAGUUUCUCAAUUGGGAUCCAGUAUGAAGGGUAGAAACUGAGAAGAAAGUUUUAUUUUAUAUAAUAUUUGAAUUUUAGUUAGGAAUUAAAAUGUUUUUAUCAUUCCUUGGGACGAGAAGACCCUAGAAGCUUAAAAAUCUAAAAUUUUUUGAUUGGGGUAAUUUAUUGAAGACUUUAAUUUUUGAUAGAUUUUUAUAAAAUUUUUAAAAGUUACUCUAGGGAUAACAGCGUUAUUUAAUUAACAAGUUCUUAUUAAUAAUUGAGUUUGCGACCUCGAUGUUGAAUUAAUU